CAUCAGGUGACUGAAAGCAAGUACUGGUCUCUUAAACCAUCUUAUAGUAAAAUAGCGAUUACUCCUGAUG
Molecule: transfer RNA, 70 nt
Filed under: Kalotermes flavicollis
Lineage: Eukaryota; Metazoa; Arthropoda; Insecta; Blattodea; Kalotermitidae
Description: tRNA-Lys
Source: RNAcentral